This 1451-nucleotide ribosomal RNA is filed under the name uncultured organism. RNAcentral describes it as "16S ribosomal RNA". It matches the Rfam family "Bacterial small subunit ribosomal RNA". The record is from RNAcentral.
GUGCCUAAUACAUGCAAGUAGAACGCUGAAGAGAGGAUUUUGCUCUUCUUGGAUGAGUUGCGAACGGGUGAGUAACGCGUAGGUAACCUGCCUUGUAGCGGGGGAUAACUAUUGGAAACGAUAGCUAAUACCGCAUAACAAUGGAUGACACAUGUCAUUUAUUUGAAAGGGGCAAAUGCUCCACUACAAGAUGGACCUGCGUUGUAUUAGCUAGUAGGUGAGGUAACGGCUCACCUAGGCGACGAUACAUAGCCGACCUGAGAGGGUGAUCGGCCACACUGGGACUGAGACACGGCCCAGACUCCUACGGGAGGCAGCAGUAGGGAAUCUUCGGCAAUGGGGGCAACCCUGACCGAGCAACGCCGCGUGAGUGAAGAAGGUUUUCGGAUCGUAAAGCUCUGUUGUAAGUCAAGAACGAGUGUGAGAGUGGAAAGUUCACACUGUGACGGUAGCUUACCAGAAAGGGACGGCUAACUACGUGCCAGCAGCCGCGGUAAUACGUAGGUCCCGAGCGUUGUCCGGAUUUAUUGGGCGUAAAGCGAGCGCAGGCGGUUUGAUAAGUCUGAAGUUAAAGGCUGUGGCUCAACCAUAGUUCGCUUUGGAAACUGUCAAACUUGAGUGCAGAAGGGGAGAGUGGAAUUCCAUGUGUAGCGGUGAAAUGCGUAGAUAUAUGGAGGAACACCGGUGGCGAAAGCGGCUCUCUGGUCUGUAACUGACGCUGAGGCUCGAAAGCGUGGGGAGCGAACAGGAUUAGAUACCCUGGUAGUCCACGCCGUAAACGAUGAGUGCUAGGUGUUGGAUCCUUUCCGGGAUUCAGUGCCGCAGCUAACGCAUUAAGCACUCUGCCUGGGGAGUACGACCGCAAGGUUGAAACUCAAAGGAAUUGACGGGGGCCCGCACAAGCGGUGGAGCAUGUGGUUUAAUUCGAAGCAACGCGAAGAACCUUACCAGGUCUUGACAUCCCGAUGCUAUUUCUAGAGAUAGAAAGUUACUUCGGUACAUCGGUGACAGGUGGUGCAUGGUUGUCGUCAGCUCGUGUCGUGAGAUGUUGGGUUAAGUCCCGCAACGAGCGCAACCCCUAUUGUUAGUUGCCAUCAUUCAGUUGGGCACUCUAGCGAGACUGCCGGUAAUAAACCGGAGGAAGGUGGGGAUGACGUCAAAUCAUCAUGCCCCUUAUGACCUGGGCUACACACGUGCUACAAUGGUUGGUACAACGAGUUGCGAGUCGGUGACGGCAAGCUAAUCUCUUAAAGCCAAUCUCAGUUCGGAUUGUAGGCUGCAACUCGCCUACAUGAAGUCGGAAUCGCUAGUAAUCGCGGAUCAGCACGCCGCGGUGAAUACGUUCCCGGGCCUUGUACACACCGCCCGUCACACCACGAGAGUUUGUAACACCCGAAGUCGGUGAGGUAACCUUUUGGAGCCAGCCGCCUAAGGUGGGAUAGAUGAUUGGG